Long non-coding RNA from Osmia lignaria (orchard mason bee), 1459 nucleotides. RefSeq lists it as uncharacterized. The record is from RefSeq and is a predicted model, not a curated record. Lineage: Eukaryota; Metazoa; Arthropoda; Insecta; Hymenoptera; Megachilidae.
UGGAUGGUGCAAUAGAAGUUUAAAGAAUUUGGGUGAUGAAAUAGAAGUUUCAGGAAUGCGUCACAGGACGUGACAGUACAGAAUUUUUUAAAAUUGUUACUGAAAACAUUAACUGUUUACAUUGGUGUUUUAGUAAUAUAUUUAAUUUUAAUUAUUAGAAUGUAUCUUAAAAGAAAGAGGAAGAAAAUAUGCAGCAUCAGAGGGUGCAUUAACGAAAACAGCAGGAUGUUCUUCUUCCCCCAAGAGAGAAAGGAUAAGAAGAGAAUGGCACAGUGUGUGGAAGUAUGUGACAACCCAAAGUCGGUGCUUCCACCUGAAAACUGAAAUUCCGGGUGAUCUGUAGCAGCUACUUUAAAGAAAAAUACUUCAUGAGGAAAAGAUUAACAACAUCAGCAGUUCCAACACUGAACUUAUUUGAGACUGUAAUAAAUAUUGCAUGUCAGAGGCUGCCUCUAUUAAAAUAGAGCAACAAGACACCUGGAUACAAAUGAAAAGAAGAAGAAGAUUUGGAAGGAGAAAAAAGGGACUUUCUGUAAACAGGUACAAAAAGAAAUGCUAAAUGUGGAAAAGAACUCCAAUGCCAUAAAUGUACCCUUCGUCAUAUUGCCAGAACUAUGCAACCGUAGGAUUGAAAAUACAAAACAGGUAACAGACUGUAUUCAUCGCCUGUGUUAUAAACAUGCCCUACUCAUCAAAUUGCUAGGACCUUUUAACCGUAGGAACAAGAACAUCAAGCAGGUAAAGCAGCGUACUCGCCAUCCUAUGGUAUAAACGACCCGCUCCACGAACCGUGCGGCCAGUAAACAAAUGAUAAUAACUCAUAAGGUCGCAAAAAGUCGCAGCUAAAUGAAGCAGAUACUUGUUCAGUAAUCUUCAAGGUUUCAUUUAAAAAAAAAAUUACCGGUCGAUCUUGGUCGAUGGACAACUUUUUCAUUAAUCAAGUAGAAAAAUGUAUAGGUCUUGUAUUCUUAUCUAUCGUAUCUUUAAUAAUUAAGAAAACGUAAUAACACUGGGAUGUAUAUUAACUAAGAACAUGCUAGUUUACAUCAAUACUGAUAAACUAGCAUCAUAGCCCGAUAAUAAAUCACUAAGCUACUUUUAAUUAUGGUCGAAAAAACUGACGUUACAAAAAUGCCAACUUUGAACUCAUAUAUCUCUAACAGAAUUACAUAUCAAAGAUUGGCAAUAGGGGGGAAAUAUGCUCUGAUAAUUCAUAAAUGAAAUACGCUACAAAGAUUUUUCAAAUUCGCAAAAAAAAUUUUUUCACUUUUGGCCACGAAUUCGGGCAAAUUCGGCACUGUGCGCCGCCUGGAUUUUCUGCGCGAAACUAAUUUUAGUUACAACAUUAAGGGGGUAGACAUGGGUAAUAGUAGCGCGGUGACUUUACCGGCAAAAAUGGGCCUAAACAUGGGUUUACGCGCUUCCGUUAUUCGUCCUUGUAUGACAACAUUUAGGGCUG